This is a long non-coding RNA of Pistacia vera, 231 nucleotides long. RefSeq lists it as uncharacterized. The record is from RefSeq and is a predicted model, not a curated record. The transcript is spliced from 3 exons. NCBI's taxonomy places the organism in Eukaryota, Viridiplantae, Streptophyta, Magnoliopsida, Sapindales, Anacardiaceae.
GCAAGAUUUUGCUGCAUGCGAAGGUUCCUCCCAAAGUUAAAUUCCACAACAUAUGUGGGAUCAAUCUUGAGACACCUCACAGUGUUGGUUAUGGAAGUGAAGAUGCACCUGUUGCAGAUUUAUCAGAACUAAGAUUUCUCCAGGCUAAAUAUGUAUGUGUUGAUGGCGGUGGGACUGUUCCAACUGAAUCAGCCAAGGUUCUCUAGCUUCCGUGUUAAACGAUUAUUUCCG